This 527-nucleotide unclassified non-coding RNA is filed under the name uncultured Glomeromycotina. RNAcentral describes it as "SSU rRNA". It matches the Rfam family "Eukaryotic small subunit ribosomal RNA", at positions 591 to 1113 of the family's 1831-position model. Lineage: Eukaryota; Fungi; Glomeromycota. The record is from RNAcentral.
CCAAUAGCGUAUAUUAAAGUUGUUGCAGUUAAAAAGCUCGUAGUUGAAUUUCGGGAUUGACACAUCGGUCGUGCCUUAAGGGGUAUGAACUGGUGUAGUCAAUUUCUCACCUUCUGGAGAACCGCGAUGCCCUUAAUUGGGUGUCGCGGGGAACCAGGACCUUUACUUUGAAAAAAUUAGAGUGUUUAAAGCAGGCAUUUUGCUUGAAUACAUUAGCAUGGAAUAAUAAAAUAGGACGGCAUGAUUCUAUUUUGUUGGUUUCUAGGAUCACCGUAAUGAUUAAUAGGGAUAGUUGGGGGCAUUAGUAUUCAAUUGUCAGAGGUGAAAUUCUUGGAUUUAUUGAAGACUAACUACUGCGAAAGCAUUUGCCAAGGAUGUUUUCAUUAAUCAAGAACGAAAGUUAGGGGAUCGAAGACGAUCAGAUACCGUCGUAGUCUUAACCAUAAACUAUGCCGACUAGGAAUCAGACGAUGUUAAUUUUUUAAUGACUCGUUUGGCACCUUACGGGAAACCAAAGUGUUUGGGUC